Oxyura jamaicensis (ruddy duck) is the source of this 2327-nucleotide long non-coding RNA. RefSeq lists it as uncharacterized. The transcript is spliced from 2 exons. Lineage: Eukaryota; Metazoa; Chordata; Aves; Anseriformes; Anatidae. The record is from RefSeq and is a predicted model, not a curated record.
UUUUUUUUUUUUUUUUUUCCUGCGGGUAAAUCAGAUUGAUUUUGAUUUGCAGCAGAUCAGUAGAAUGGAGAAUAUACCAGCCAACUAUUUGCUCUUAUCAUGUCAUAUGAAAAACUAUGACGUGAGGUGUCACUCGUAAAACUAAACCAAUCCAAAUUUCCAAUAAACAAACAUGCCAAUUUGAUACAAUCUCCAGUAAGUGAGAGAAAAGAACAAUAAAUAAAAGCAGAAGCACGUGCAAUAAUGUGGGUAGCUGAUUUUACUAGAUGAAACCCCUCCACCUAGAAAGGGUUUCUGAGCUAUUAGAAGGAUGAGAACCAGAAGUAGAAAUGCCAAUCUUCAACAUUUGUUCAUUUCUAUAGAAAUAACAGAUUAGUUACCUUAAGAAAGAGAUGGAUGACAUUAAAGAUGUGAUGACACAUAACUGAAAAUUAGCAUCUCAAUUGUCUGACAAUGUAAAUAAUCAUGCAUUUUUGAGAGCUGUUAUUGGUUUGUAUUCCUUUGCUAUACUUUUGCAUUUAAUCUAUGAAAGGUACGGUGGUGAUUUUAGUCUCAUAGUUACCAGGUGAAACAGCAUGAUGCUCUUUUUACAAACUGGUUGCUUGUAGAUUCUGUUCACAACAGUAACUAUAUAUUGCUCUUUUAGUUUUAGCAUUAUUCCAGUAAACAUCAAUGCCUUUCCACAUCCUUUCUCCUUGCUGACCGAUUCUUAUCUUAAUCAAAUAAUUGACUCACAUGUGUUUCAAACAAGUGAGUCCUUGACAGGCUAAUGCAAUUCAGAAAGCUGUGUUCUUACACUGCUGGGUCAGGCUGGUACUCUCUGAUUACCGAUCAUGGCCUUAUGUGAACUGAGAUGCAGUCUCAUAUUGUACAGGUCCUUUGCUGCAAAAUCUGUAUUUACAACAAGCAGCUUCUGGAAAAAAGGUAGGAACAGAUCUUGCCCUAGGAGCAGGUUUUCUCACAUUGGAACACAUUGCAGGUAAAAGUGUUCGUGGUGAAUGCCUCCACUGUCACCUGUGAAAUCUAUUCUGGAGACAAGUACAGGGAUAUAGAGCUGCCAGCAAAGCAUACUUCAUGAUAAAAUAUCAAUCUUUACUUUUCUUUCAGUAGGCCUUUUUGUAUUUCUAGUGGCUUUUUUUUUCUUCCUAACUUGUGAUUUUUUAUAUAUUAUUAAGGAUGUUAUUGCCUUAGGUUUUUACUGUGAAAGCUGUCUUAAAAUGAGAUUAUAACUUUGUGAAAAUAACUUUGUGAAAAAUUAAUUUAAUUCAGGACUUUACCUAAUUUCAAUAAUCAAGACAAGAUUUUAAUAUACUGUAAACUGUUAUUCUUUUCAACUUCUUAUACCUAAAUAAUUUCUGUGCAUUAUAGUUAGACUUAAUCCUUCUUUCUCAUUUGAGUUGAGAGACAACAAGAAUAUGUUCCAUAUGUCAUUCCUGUAAUGUUUCAGUUACAUAUCUGAAUGCUUUGGAAGUAUAAAUUGAACAUAAUUGAAUAAAUAGUAAAAGAUUACACAGUCAUUUUUUUUCCUAAUCUCAAUCUAACUUCCUCAAAGAACAGGGAAAACAGUUCAGCUCUUGAAGUGGCAAGCAUUUUUCUCUUUAAAUUCACGUGACCUUAAAAAGAAUUACUUGAAUUGCAUGGCUUUAUUCAAAUUAGGCUGGAGUAUUGGAAAAUCAUGAUUGUUAUCUGUUUUGGAAAAUAAAGAAUAUCAACCACAUUUUGGUGACUGUAGGAUUUUUUUCUGUUAAUCCAAAUAUGGAUGCUAAGGGUUUACAUAUGUACGUUGUUUAUCCCUACUAAGUUUUUACAAAUCUUUUGAAUAUGAUUAUAGUGUUAGUUACUCUUAGUCUAGAAAAUGAAUCAUUCUUCAUUUUAUUCAUUCUUAAUGGGCUUUUUGCAAUAAUUAGCUAGACUUUCUACAUACUUUGUGGAUUAUACUCUGACAGACAAAAGGCAAGCUAGUUGCAGUCAUUCAAGAGAGCUUCAUGUGUACCAAAAUCACAUAUGUUCAACGAGUUGUUUACUUCAAAUAUUACUAUAAAACCAAUGAAAGCAAAACUGCAUUCUCCUAUAACUAAUCUGUGUUCAAGAUGAUUUUGACUAUCAAGAAACUGAGAGAGCAAAAAUUACAAGAUUUUUUUCACAGCCUACAGGAACUUACAGCUUGUCUAAGAUAUGUGAGCUGAUACACAAACCACACUACAGCCUGAAGACAACGUGGCUGCAAUUGUGGAGCUUUGUAUUCAGUUUUCCAGAAAGAAGAAACACAAAAGCAAAUAAAAAUAUGAAGUACAUUUGAUUUUUAGACCUGUAAAUGUCAAUAGAUA